GUCUACAGCCAUGCCACCCUGAACAAGCCCAAUCCAGUCUGAUCUCGGAAACUAAGCAGGGUCGGGCCUGGUUAGUACUUGGAUGAGAGAUCACCUAGGAAGACCAGGUGCUGCAGGUA
RNAcentral lists this ribosomal RNA (119 nucleotides) under Pteropus alecto (black flying fox). The record is from RNAcentral. Lineage: Eukaryota; Metazoa; Chordata; Mammalia; Chiroptera; Pteropodidae.